Molecule: ribosomal RNA, 866 nt
Filed under: Teratosphaeria sieberi
Lineage: Eukaryota; Fungi; Ascomycota; Dothideomycetes; Mycosphaerellales; Teratosphaeriaceae
Description: eukaryotic LSU rRNA
Rfam family: Eukaryotic large subunit ribosomal RNA
Source: RNAcentral
GCAUAUCAAUAAGCGGAGGAAAAGAAACCAACAGGGAUUGCCCUAGUAACGGCGAGUGAAGCGGCAACAGCUCAAAUUUGAAAUCUGGCGCAAGCCCGAGUUGUAAUUUGUAGAGGAUGCUUCAGGGCAGCGGCCGGUCUAAGUUCCUUGGAACAGGACGUCGUAGAGGGUGAGAAUCCCGUAUGCGACCGGUUGGCACCCGUCACGUAGCUCCUUCGACGAGUCGAGUUGUUUGGGAAUGCAGCUCUAAAUGGGAGGUAAAUUUCUUCUAAAGCUAAAUACCGGCCAGAGACCGAUAGCGCACAAGUAGAGUGAUCGAAAGAUGAAAAGCACUUUGGAAAGAGAGUUAAAAAGCACGUGAAAUUGUUGAAAGGGAAGCGCAUGCAACCAGACUUGUCGGCGGUGUUCCGCCGGUCUUCUGACCGGUCCAUUCGCCGCCGGCAGGCCAGCAUCAUCUGGGCGCGCCGGACAAAGGCGUGGGGAAUGUAGCUCCUCGGAGCGUUAUAGCCCCGCGCACAAUACGGCGCCGCCCGGGUGAGGUCCGCGCUUCGGCUAGGAUGCUGGCGUAAUGGUUGUCUGCGGCCCGUCUUGAAACACGGACCAAGGAGUCUAACAUCUAUGCGAGUGUUCGGGUGUCAAACCCCUACGCGUAAUGAAAGUGAACGGAGGUGGGAAGCGCAAGCUGCACCAUCGACCGAUCCUGAUGUCUUCGGAUGGAUUUGAGUAAGAGCAUAGCUGUUGGGACCCGAAAGAUGGUGAACUAUGCCUGAAUAGGGUGAAGCCAGAGGAAACUCUGGUGGAGGCUCGCAGCGGUUCUGACGUGCAAAUCGAUCGUCAAAUUUGGGUAUAGGGGCGAAAGACUAAUC